This 1170-nucleotide ribosomal RNA is filed under the name uncultured bacterium. RNAcentral's name for it is "bacterial SSU rRNA". It matches the Rfam family "Bacterial small subunit ribosomal RNA", at positions 202 to 1400 of the family's 1533-position model. The record is from RNAcentral.
GAAAGAUUUAUCGCUCCGGGAGGGGGAUGCGUCCUAUCAGGUAGUUGGUGGGGUAAUAGCCUACCAAGCCUAUGACGGGUAACCGGACUGAGAGGUUGUACGGUCGCAAUGGAACUGACAAACGGUCCAUACUCCUACGGGAGGAAGCAGUGGGGAAUCUUGGACAAUGGGGGAAACCCUGAUCCAGCGAUCUCGCGUGGAGGAUGAAGCCUUACGGGGUGUAAACUCCUUUUCUGGGAGAAGACGAAUGACGGUAUCUCAGGAAUAAGGGACGGCUAACUACGUGCCAGCAGCCGCGGUAAUACGUAGGUCCCAAGCGUUAUCCGGAAUUACUGGGCGUAAAGAGUCUGUAGCUGGAUAUAUAAGUCUAUUUUCAAAUACUCCGACUCAAUCGGAGAAAGGGAAUAGAUACUGUAAAUCUAGAGGUAUUCGGAGGUUAGUGGAAUUUCCAGUGGAGCGGUGAAAUGCGUUGAUAUUGGAAGGAAUGCCGAAAGCGAAAGCAGCUAACUAUAAAUUACCUGACAGUGAGAGACGAAAGCUUGGGUAGCAAACGGGAUUAGAUACCCCGGUAGUCCAAGCCGUAAAUUAUGCUUGCUAGAUGUUUGGUCCGCUUCGUCGGACUGAGUGUCGAACCUAACGGGUUAAGCAAGCCGCCUGGGUAGUAUAUUCGCAAGAAUGAAACUCAAAGGGAUAGGCGGGGGAACACACAAGCAGUGGAUGACCUCGAUUAAUUGGAUAUUAAGCCAAGAAUCUUACCUAGGCUUGACAUAUGAUGUGUCAUCAGUGAAAGCUGGUUAAUCCGAGCAAUCGGGUACGUUAUACAGGUGGUGCAUGGUCGUCGUCAGCUCGUGCCGCAAGGUGUCCAGUUAAGUCUGGUAACGAGCGCAACCCUCGUUCCAUGUUAGUAUGUCAUGGAAGACUGCCUGCGCAAGCAGGAGGAAGGAGAGGAUGAUGUCAGAUCCUCAUGCCCCUUAUGUCUAGGGCUUCAGAGGUCAUACAAUGGGAAGUACAAUGAGAAGCAAAACCGUGAGGUGAAGCAAAACUCGAACCCUUCCCCAAGUUCGGAUUGUAGUCUGGAACUUGACUACAUGAAGUUGGAAUUGCUAGUAAUGGUGAAUCAGCAAUGUCACCGUGAAUAUGUCCCUGUUCCUUGCACUCACCGCCCGUCAA